This is a long non-coding RNA of Lycium barbarum (goji berry), 380 nucleotides long. RefSeq lists it as uncharacterized. NCBI's taxonomy places the organism in Eukaryota, Viridiplantae, Streptophyta, Magnoliopsida, Solanales, Solanaceae. The record is from RefSeq and is a predicted model, not a curated record. The transcript is spliced from 3 exons.
CCCUCCAUUGAAGGCUCUCGGCCAACAGCCCUGAAAAUUCACUUCCAUUUUUAGCUCUCCAAAAAUUAAUUUCUUGGUGUUAAACCACUAAUUAGAGGUCCCUAAGUAACUUGAAAGCAUUGUUGGGGUGAUCAAGUCCUUCAUUCAAGAGAUUGGAAAACCCUAGCCUAUUAAAAGUUGAAGAGAAAAAGAUCGUGGGCAGCCCGAAUCAUAGUUUGGACUUAGCUUGAGUUGGAUCAUAUUGGAGAGCGUUUGAGGUACGGACGCACAGCCUGGUGAUCCACCUGUUUAGGACACCCCCUUCUGCUAUUCGGAGUGCUCCUCUCAUUCUGGAGCCUAUAUUUUUGGUAUAUAAUUGUUAGUGCAUUUGUAUAUAUUCG